CCUACGGGUGGCAGCAGUGAGGAAUAUUGGUCAAUGGACGAGAGUCUGAACCAGCCAAGUCGCGUGAAGGAUGACUGCCCUAUGGGUUGUAAACUUCUUUUAUAUGGGAAUAAAAUGAUCCACGUGUGGCUUUUUGUAUGUACCUUAUGAAUAAGGAUCGGCUAACUCCGUGCCAGCAGCCGCGGUAAUACGGAGGAUCCGAGCGUUAUCCGGAUUUAUUGGGUUUAAAGGGAGCGUAGGUGGGUUGUUAAGUCAGUUGUGAAAGUUUGCGGCUCAACCGUAAAAUUGCAGUUGAAACUGGCAGUCUUGAGUACAGGUGAGGUAGGCGGAAUUCGUGGUGUAGCGGUGAAAUGCUUAGAUAUCACGAAGAACCCCGAUUGCGAAGGCAGCUCACUAGACUGCAACUGACACUGAGGCUCGAAAGUGUGGGUAUCAAACAGGAUUAGAUACCCUUGUAGUC
This 460-nucleotide ribosomal RNA is filed under the name uncultured bacterium. RNAcentral describes it as "partial 16S ribosomal RNA". It matches the Rfam family "Bacterial small subunit ribosomal RNA", at positions 338 to 795 of the family's 1533-position model. The record is from RNAcentral.